Molecule: ribosomal RNA, 689 nt
Filed under: uncultured bacterium
Lineage: Bacteria
Description: bacterial SSU rRNA
Rfam family: Bacterial small subunit ribosomal RNA
Source: RNAcentral
AGAGUUUGAUCCUGGCUCAGAGCGAACGCUGGCGGCAGGCUUAACACAUGCAAGUCGAGCGGGCGUAGCAAUACGUCAGCGGCAGACGGGUGAGUAACGCGUGGGAACGUACCUUUUGGUUCGGAACAACACAGGGAAACUUGUGCUAAUACCGGAUAAGCCCUUACGGGGAAAGAUUUAUCGCCGAAAGAUCGGCCCGCGUCUGAUUAGCUAGUUGGUGAGGUAACGGCUCACCAAGGCGACGAUCAGUAGCUGGUCUGAGAGGAUGAUCAGCCACAUUGGGACUGAGACACGGCCCAAACUCCUACGGGAGGCAGCAGUGGGGAAUAUUGGACAAUGGGCGCAAGCCUGAUCCAGCCAUGCCGCGUGAGUGAUGAAGGCCCUAGGGUUGUAAAGCUCUUUUGUGCGGGAAGAUAAUGACGGUACCGCAAGAAUAAGCCCCGGCUAACUUCGUGCCAGCAGCCGCGGUAAUACGAAGGGGGCUAGCGUUGCUCGGAAUCACUGGGCGUAAAGGGUGCGUAGGCGGGUCUUUAAGUCAGGGGUGAAAUCCUGGAGCUCAACUCCAGAACUGCCUUUGAUACUGAAGAUCUUGAGUUCGGGAGAGGUGAGUGGAACUGCGAGUGUAGAGGUGAAAUUCGUAGAUAUUCGCAAGAACACCAGUGGCGAAGGCGGCUCACUGGCCCGAUACU